This 253-nucleotide ribosomal RNA is filed under the name uncultured bacterium. Its description in RNAcentral is "partial 16S ribosomal RNA". It matches the Rfam family "Bacterial small subunit ribosomal RNA", at positions 524 to 776 of the family's 1533-position model. The record is from RNAcentral.
UACAGAGGGUGCAAGCGUUAAUCGGAAUUACUGGGCGUAAAGCGUGCGUAGGCGGUUUCGCAAGUCCGCUGUGAAAGCCCCGGGCUUAACCUGGGAAUGGCAGUGGAAACUAUGGGACUUGAAUCUGGCAGAGGGGGGUGGAAUGCGACGUGUAGCAGUGAAAUGCGUAGAGAUGUGGCGGAACACUGAUGGCGAAGGCAGCCCCCUGGGCCAAGAUUGACGCUCAGGCACGAAAGCGUGGGGAGCAAACAGG